RNAcentral lists this ribosomal RNA (421 nucleotides) under uncultured bacterium. RNAcentral describes it as "partial 16S ribosomal RNA". It matches the Rfam family "Bacterial small subunit ribosomal RNA", at positions 360 to 773 of the family's 1533-position model. The record is from RNAcentral.
AAUAUUGGACAAUGGGGGCAACCCUGAUCCAGCCAUGCCGCGUGUGUGAAGAAGGUCUUCGGAUUGUAAAUAACUUUAUGUUGGAAGGUAGGGCUUGAGGUAACGACCCUGAAGUUUUCAAGUUCCCAAUUUAUGAAACACCGGCUAACGCUGUGCCAGCAGCCGCGGUAAUACAGAGGGUGCAAGCGUUAAUCGGAAUUACUGGGCGUAAAGCGCGCGUAGGUGGUUCAGUAAGAUGGGUGUGAAAUCCCCGGGCUUAACCUGGGAACUGCUUUCAUAACUGCUGAGCUAGAGUACGGUAGAGGGUAGUGGAAUUUCCUGUGUAGCGGUGAAAUGCGUAGAUAUAGGAAGGAACACCAGUGGCGAAGGCGACUACCUGGACUGAUACUGACACUGAGGUGCGAAAGCGUGGGGAGCAAAC